GACGAACCGUGCGAACGUUAUUCGGAAUCACUGGGCUUAAAGCGCGUGUAGGCGGGAGGGCACGUCCGUCGCUGAAAUCCCCCGGCUCAACCGGGGAAGUGGCGCGGAUACGACCUUCCUGGAGGGGCGUAGGGGGACCUGGAACUUCCGGUGGAGCGGUGAAAUGCGUAGAUAUCGGGAGGAACACCAGUGGCGAAGGCGGUUGCCUGGAGCUUUGCUGACGCUGAUGCGCGAAAGCGUGGGGAGCGAUCCGG
This 254-nucleotide ribosomal RNA is filed under the name uncultured bacterium. Its description in RNAcentral is "partial 16S ribosomal RNA". It matches the Rfam family "Bacterial small subunit ribosomal RNA", at positions 524 to 776 of the family's 1533-position model. The record is from RNAcentral.